Pan troglodytes (chimpanzee) is the source of this 638-nucleotide long non-coding RNA. RefSeq lists it as uncharacterized. The record is from RefSeq and is a predicted model, not a curated record. Lineage: Eukaryota; Metazoa; Chordata; Mammalia; Primates; Hominidae. The transcript has 3 exons.
GGUAAGAACUAUGAGAGACGUCGGCACAAAGGGGUUACGGGACGAAGGGUCCAAGUAAGGCAGAAAAGAAAAUGUUGCCAGUUGAUGGGGAAGAAAGGAAGUCAGAGGGCUUAGACACUGGGGGACAGAACAUCUCAGGCGCAAUCUCCUCUCUCGUAGUCAACAACAUCUGUCAAAGGGGAGGGCCUGCAUCGUCUGCUAACCUGAAGGAUCUGGAGGAUGAGAGGCUGUGGGAGCAGAAGACGCAGGAAGAGGAGAGGCUGCAGGAGCUGGGCAUAAGGCCGAGCUCUAGGGGGAGCAGGUGAAGGCGCGCGUGCAAACCCUGGAGGCCAUGCAGACCGAGCUCACCACCGUCAGCUGUGCACUCUCCUAGAACCACGAGCUGGAGGAGCAGCUGGCCGAGCUGCAGAGCGGCUUCAAGGAGCUGGUGCUCAGCCCCACCUGGGGAGCCUCCCCUUCUCCCUAGCCCUCUGGGUCUUUGUUUCCCCACCUGUGAAAUGGGCGUUGUAGCCCUCACGUGAAAUGGAGAACAUGGAGAUAGCCAGUCUGUUGCAGUCGGAGCUGCAUGGCAAGAAGGAGCUGCAGGAGAAGCUGGGCUGAAGGAGACGGUAACCCUGCCCCAUCCAAGAAGGGCUAGG